This is a non-coding RNA of Stegodyphus dumicola, 82 nucleotides long. The record is from the annotation of a RefSeq genome assembly. NCBI's taxonomy places the organism in Eukaryota, Metazoa, Arthropoda, Arachnida, Araneae, Eresidae.
GAUGAGGUGGGCGAGUGGUUAAGGCAAUGGCCUCCUAAUUCGUUGGGCUCUGCCCGUGUGGGUUCGAAUCCCAUCCUCGUCG